GGGCAGACAUAUUUGAUGCUAAAUUUUCUAUUCGUAAAAUUUCGUGUAAUUUUGUUUUCGACUGUGAAGUGAAAACUAUUUUCUUAUUGAUAUAGGUUCACUCAAUUCCUUACUUGAUGACUCCUUAGUGUGUAUUUCCUGAUUUUGAAUAUCAGAUGACAUCCCAGUACUGGUAGGAGCAGUGCUAUUACUGGCUGACCGGCCCUCCAUGUCUGCAACUUCAACAUCGGAAGGUGUUUGUGCGCGAUUCGACGCUAAAUUUUAACCCGUUAACGAAACGAAAAAUAUAUAUAGUGUGCGAAUCGAUAAAGUGGUUUGCCAAAAGGAAGGAAUAAAUAACAAAAAAACAUAUUUCUUCAAUUUUUAUAACAAAUAUGUAUUUCAAACUACAAAUAUGUGUUUCCAAAAUGGAAAUGCUGCUGUAUCAGGAAUAUAUAAAUACAUGUAAAAUUCUAUUUUCUAUUAUCGUUUUUCUGUGUCACGUUUCUUUCCAAAACUUAAA
Long non-coding RNA from Diorhabda carinulata, 502 nucleotides. RefSeq lists it as uncharacterized. The record is from RefSeq and is a predicted model, not a curated record. NCBI's taxonomy places the organism in Eukaryota, Metazoa, Arthropoda, Insecta, Coleoptera, Chrysomelidae. The transcript is spliced from 3 exons.